UUAUACUCCUCCUCCUCCUCCUCUUUUUUCCUUUAUCAUAUCUUCUCUUUCUCCUCAUGUCCUUUUCGUUUUUUAUCUCCUUCUUCUUCUGCUCUAUGGUUUUCUUUCCUUCACUUAUUCUAUGCCUAUAUUUGAGUUGUUCCUUGUUUUCCCUCCUUCUCCUCGUCUCCUCGUUUCUCAUAUCCUUUCUUCUUCUAUUGCUCAUAAUCCUAACAUAACACAGCCUAGCAUUAUAACAUGACAUAACACAGAACCAAAAUGCAUUAAAAAAAAAAAAACACUUGGGAUAUAAAUAACGUGAAUUAAGACAGCAGGGAGUCCCACACGCAACACCGGCGGGAAUACCACACGAGGACACAGGCAGGUCCCCAAAGGUAGCGGUCUAUCAGGGAAGGGGGAGUGAGAGAUGAUAUAGCGGGCAAGAAUCUAUGUAAGCUCAGUGUUGCUUGACUUCUUCCUUCGUCAACACAGCCUCGCAAUGCGUCUGCUGUGGCUGCUGGUGGUGCUGGCGGCUGUCCUGGUUGCCUCCCACGCCGCUGCGAAUCCCUUGUCUCCCAUCCCUCCAGGGCCAUUCCCGCCGCCUGGGCCAAGGCCGAUACCCUUACCAUACCCAUGGCCAGGUCCACCAAUCCCAGGGCCAUAUCCACCCCGUCCCCCAAUAGGACCGUACGGCUGGUGAAUCAGAGUUGUUGCUUCACCACACAUGCCUGCUGCCAGAGCCUCAAUAACCUGGACACUCCUACUACACUCUCCCUGCGACACCUUGAUCUGAUGCUGCUGUUUGUUUGUGUUCCUUAAGUGAAGAAGAGUCACUAAUUUCUUAAUCUGAAAUGUAUCCCUGUAUAGAGCUUUGAAAUAAA
Molecule: long non-coding RNA, 860 nt
Organism: Portunus trituberculatus (swimming crab)
Lineage: Eukaryota; Metazoa; Arthropoda; Malacostraca; Decapoda; Portunidae
Exons: 2
Source: RefSeq, a predicted model, not a curated record